GUGAGGAAUAUUGCGCAAUGGAGGCAACUCUGACGCAGCCAUGCCGCGUGCAGGAAGAAGGCGCUACGCGUUGUAAACUGCUUUUAACCGGGAAGAAACCCCAGGACGUGUCCUGGGUUGACGGUACCGGAGGAAUAAGCACCGGCUAACUACGUGCCAGCAGCCGCGGUAAUACGAAGGGUGCAAGCGUUAUCCGGAUUCAUUGGGUUUAAAGGGUGCGUAGGCGGAGCGUUAAGUCAGUGGUGAAAUCCUGCAGCUUAACUGUAGACUUGCAUUGAUACUGGCGCUCUUGAGUGCGCUUGAAGUGGGCGGAAUGUGCCGUGUAGCGGUGAAAUGCUUAGAUAUGGCACAGAACACCAAUUGCGAAGGCAGCUCACUAAGGCGAUACUGACGCUGAGGCACGAAAGCGUGGGGAUCGAACAGGAUUAGAAACCCUUGUAGUCC
RNAcentral lists this ribosomal RNA (444 nucleotides) under uncultured bacterium. RNAcentral describes it as "partial 16S ribosomal RNA". It matches the Rfam family "Bacterial small subunit ribosomal RNA", at positions 354 to 796 of the family's 1533-position model. The record is from RNAcentral.